CUACGGGACGCUGCAGUGGGGAAUCUUGCACAAUGGGCGAAAGCCUGAUGCAGCCAUGCCGCGUGAAUGAUGAAGGCCCUAGGGUUGUAAAAUUCUUUCGCCAGGGAUGAUAAUGACAGUACCUGGUAAAGAAGCACCGGCUAACUUCGUGCCAGCAGCCGCGGUAAUACGAAGGGUGCUAGCGUUGUUCGGAAUUACUGGCGUAAAGCGCGCGUAGGCGGGUUUUUAAGUCAGAUGUGAAAUCCCGGGGCUCAACCUCGGAACUGCAUUUGAAACUGGGAACCUAGAGAUCAGGAGAGGUUGGCGGAAUACCGAGUGUAGAGGUGAAAUUCGUAGAUAUUCGGUGGAACACCAGUGGCGAAGGCGGCCAACUGGACUGAUACUGACGCUGAGGUGCGAAAGUGUGGGGAGCAAACAGGAUUAGAUACCCGCGUAGUC
Molecule: ribosomal RNA, 438 nt
Filed under: uncultured bacterium
Lineage: Bacteria
Description: partial 16S ribosomal RNA
Rfam family: Bacterial small subunit ribosomal RNA
Source: RNAcentral